RNAcentral lists this ribosomal RNA (432 nucleotides) under uncultured bacterium. RNAcentral's name for it is "partial 16S ribosomal RNA". It matches the Rfam family "Bacterial small subunit ribosomal RNA", at positions 29 to 506 of the family's 1533-position model. The record is from RNAcentral.
AACGAACGCUGGCGGCAUGCCUAACACAUGCAAGUCGAACGAGACCUUCGGGUCUAGUGGCGCACUGGUGCGUAACGCGUGGGAACCUGCCCUUAGGUUCGGAAUAACUCCCCGAAAGGGGUGCUAAUACCGGAUAAUGUCUUCGGACCAAAGAUUUAUCGCCUUUGGAUGGGCCCGCGUUGGAUUAGCUAGUUGGUAGGGUAAAAGCCUACCAAGGCGACGAUCCAUAGCUGGUCUGAGAGGAUGAUCAGCCACACUGGGACUGAGACACGGCCCAGACUCCUACGGGAGGCAGCAGUGGGGAAUAUUGGACAAUGGGCGAAAGCCUGAUCCAGCAAUGCCGCGUGAGUGAUGAAGGCCUUAGGGUUGUAAAGCUCUUUUACCCGGGAUGAUAAUGACAGUACCGGGAGAAUAAGCUCCGGCUAACUCCGU